Molecule: transfer RNA, 69 nt
Filed under: Polypedates leucomystax (Java whipping frog)
Lineage: Eukaryota; Metazoa; Chordata; Amphibia; Anura; Rhacophoridae
Also listed under: 1 other name
Description: tRNA-Pro
Rfam family: tRNA
About the family: Transfer RNA (tRNA) molecules are approximately 80 nucleotides in length.
Source: RNAcentral
CAAAACAUAGUUUAAUUAGAAUACUGGCUUUGGGAGUCAGUGGAAGAGGUUAAAUUCCUUUUGUUUUGA